ACAAUAAAUAACAAUGGUGACGACUUUGUCGUAACCAAUUGGAAUGAGAACAAUUUAAACCCCUUAACGACGAUCCACUGGAGGGCAAGUCUGGUGCCAGCAGCCGCGGUAAUUCCAGCUCCAGUAGCGUAUACUAAUGUUGCUGCAGUUAAAAAGCUCGUAGUUGGAUUUCUGGUUGAUAAUGAUGGUCCGAGUGUACCUUCGGGUUCCUUGAGUAUCGUUUCUUAUCUGCCAUCCUCUUAGUAUUGUUGACUUCGGUCUUCAGUUCUGAGACUUUUACUUUGAAAAAAUUAGAGUGUUUAAAGCAAGCUUGCGCGAUGAAUACAUUAGCAUGGAAUAAUAAUAUAGGACUACGGGUUCUAUUUUGUUGGUUUCUAGACCUGAAGUAAUGAUUGAUAGGGAUAGUUGGGGGUGCUAGUAUUGAGAGGCCAGAGGUGAAAUUCUUUGAUUCUCUCAAGACUAACUUAUGCGAAAGCAUUCACCAAGGAUGUCUUCUUUAAUCAAGAACGAAAGUUGGGGGAUCGAAGACGAUCAGAUACCGUCGUAGUCUCAACCAUAAACUAUACCGACUCAGGAUGCGUGUUCGUUGCAUAUUCGACUUCAUGCGCACUGUAUGAGAAAUCAAAGUCUUUGGGUUC
RNAcentral lists this ribosomal RNA (638 nucleotides) under eukaryote marine clone ANT12-14. RNAcentral's name for it is "bacterial SSU rRNA". It matches the Rfam family "Eukaryotic small subunit ribosomal RNA", at positions 470 to 1114 of the family's 1831-position model. The record is from RNAcentral.